Molecule: ribosomal RNA, 737 nt
Filed under: Eumops perotis (western bonneted bat)
Lineage: Eukaryota; Metazoa; Chordata; Mammalia; Chiroptera; Molossidae
Description: partial 12S ribosomal RNA
Rfam family: Bacterial small subunit ribosomal RNA
Source: RNAcentral
GUUGGUAAAUUUCGUGCCAGCCACCGCGGUCAUACGAUUAACCCAAAUUAAUAGAUUCCCGGCGUAAAGCGUGUUUAAGAGAAUAGACAAAAUAAAGAUAAAUACUAGAUAAGCCGUAAAAAGCCCCAGCUAUCAUAAGAUAAAUUACGAAAGUAACUUUAGAACAUCUGAACACACGACAGCUAAGACCCAAACUGGGAUUAGAUACCCCACUAUGCUUAGCCAUAAACCUAAAUUUAUCUAAUAAACAAGAUAAUUCGCCAGAGUACUACUAGCAAAAGCUUAAAACUCAAAGGACUUGGCGGUGCUUUAUAUCCAUCUAGAGGAGCCUGUUCUAUAAUCGAUAAACCCCGAUAAACCUCACCAACCCUUGCUAACUCAGCUUAUAUACCGCCAUCUUCAGCAAACCCUAAAAAGGACUCAUAGUAAGCAUAAACAUUAAACAUAAAAACGUUAGGUCAAGGUGUAGCCAAUGAGUUGGGAAGAAAUGGGCUACAUUUCCUGUCACAGGACAUCUACGAAUAUCUCUGUGAAACCAGAGAUUUAAGGUGGAUUUAGCAGUAAGUUAAGAAUAGAGAGCUUAACUGAACAAGGCCAUGAAGCACGCACACACCGCCCGUCACCCUCCUCAAGUACUGUUAACAACGCURAUUAACCUAUAAGCUACUUAAACAAAAACUUAUGAGAGGAGAUAAGUCGUAACARGGUAAGCGUACUGGAAAGUGCGCUUGGACAAC